Molecule: small RNA, 132 nt
Filed under: Escherichia coli
Lineage: Bacteria; Pseudomonadati; Pseudomonadota; Gammaproteobacteria; Enterobacterales; Enterobacteriaceae
Description: RtT sRNA
Rfam family: RtT RNA
About the family: This family represents a bacterial cis-regulatory element known as RtT RNA. The exact function of RtT is unknown although it is thought that it may be involved in changing the cellular response in relation to amino acid starvation.
Source: RNAcentral
AUUCUGCCCAUGCGGGGAAGGAUGAGAAGCCUCGACCAAGGUUCGACUCGAGCGCCAGCGAGAGAGCGUUGCCGCAGGCAACGACCCGAAGGGCGAAGCGCGCAGCAUUGAGUAAUCCUUCCCCCACCACCA